Long non-coding RNA from Hordeum vulgare subsp. vulgare (domesticated barley), 1134 nucleotides. RefSeq lists it as uncharacterized. The record is from RefSeq and is a predicted model, not a curated record. Lineage: Eukaryota; Viridiplantae; Streptophyta; Magnoliopsida; Poales; Poaceae. The transcript is spliced from 2 exons.
UACAAGUCCCACUAAAUGGGGUAAUAUGUGUUACAUAUGUACAAAUACAAGGUAAAAACUAGAAUUCACUCGAUUAUAAAACGAUAAUAAGGUCGACCCUCGCCAUGAAGUCCGGCUAGGGUCAGUUGACAUGUUCAAAACAACACAUAUAUACAACUUCACCAAAUAACUUGCCACUCUAUACUAUUUAUACAACAUGAAGUUUAUAACAAUAAAAAGGCAUUUACAUAUUAUACAACAACUUCUUCUUACUUCAUGGUUUAUGGGUAUCUAUUUUCAUAAAAAAAAACAAGUUGAUGAUGAUGAUGUGUGUGCCUUUGUGGCAUUUGUAUCGCCUGAUCCCAAACGGACGACUGAGAGUGAGAGGACCCCGCAUGUUGGACGAACUACCUGUUUCUAUUUCUCUCACAAAAGAAGCAGAAGCUUCCAGUAACGGCAUUACACGCGGUGGAAAUCUCUCGGUCUCUCUGUCGAUGCAAGAGGGGGUUUCCCGGCGGUUCGCCUCCGCUGGCGUCCCUCGCCUCCGAUAGCCGUCGGGCAUUGGGAGGGUGCAAGACCGUGUACGGCCGCAACACGGUUGGCGAUGUUGACGCUGUGGAAGAAGGUUCCUCUGGCUCCUUCCCCGUCAUGGCGGUGCUCUCUCUGGUGGUGCUGCAUGGAGUUGGGAUUUGUGGAGGGAUAUCCCCAGAUCCAAUUGCCGCGGACGACCAACUGCUGCAGAUUAUGAUGGGCGAAGUGGAUUGAGCUGUUGCUCCACUCCAUAGUAGGCUGGCGUUGGUGGCGGCUUCGAGGAUAGGGGAUCACUCGGUCUACCCCGGGCCAAUCCACCGAAACCCUCCCCGGUUCCUGUCUUUUGGGGCGGGACAUAGAUGUGGCUCACAAAGCCAUGGAUUGGCGAUGGUGAUUCUCAUGCCCGUUGUCUCAUGGACAACGACUCUUCCUUGCACAGGCGAGUGUAGAGAUAAGGGUCGAUGAAUAAUGAAUGGACUGGGUUGUAAGUUACUUUGUUUUCUCUGUUGGUGUUAUUCCUUUUUGUGUUGUCCCUGGUUCUGAACCUCCUAUUACAACAUUAUUAUCCAAUUUGGUGACACUGAAAUGAAUCUCGGUGGUACCGAGUUGCAUUAAAUGUGGCAA